Molecule: long non-coding RNA, 850 nt
Organism: Myotis brandtii (Brandt's bat)
Lineage: Eukaryota; Metazoa; Chordata; Mammalia; Chiroptera; Vespertilionidae
Exons: 3
Source: RefSeq, a predicted model, not a curated record
AGGGGUGGGCGGGCCUACUCUGAGCGCAUGCGUGGCGUACACACGUGCCCGCUCGCCCCGAGCGAACUGUGGCCUUGCGGUUUGAACUUCAGCGAAACGGAAAGACACUGUGUUCAAGAUGGGACCGCCCUCUCUGCUCGCCUCUGUACUUCCACCCUCUCUGGAUAAAGGAGAGAACUGUCAAACCAGAGGAAAUGACUCAGACACAUCUCAAUAGCCUCAUGGGAUAGAGCACACACAGUAAAUGGAGCUGUGAGGCCGACUGUACUACUGCCUGAGCUGUUCACCAACCUAUCCAACUGGAGAGCGACUACUUUCAGGUCACCUCGUCCAGGGAGCCUCUGCUGACUUCUACAAGCAGCCUGCUUCCUGACCUUUAAAGGCCCAGAGACCUUUCAUUUGACAUGGUAUUUAAUUCCUUCCUAGUAUUUCCAUUAUUUGUUUAACCCCUUCAUUUAUUUAUGUAUGUAUUCAUUCACUCAUCAUUAAUGUAAAGCACCUACUGUAUGCCAGGCCCUAUGAUAGGAGUUAAGGGUUAGUAAAUCAAACAUAAGCCCUGCCAUUACAGAAUUUACUGUAUGGUAAGAUGGUAGCUAGGAGCAGUCACAUAAGUAUACAUACAAUUAUAGCCCAUUGAAAAUCCUUGCAAGUAGGAAUGGUGUUGGGCAUACAGCCUAUAUCACACAAAUGUUUGUAAAAUGUGAAAUGUCUUCAUUAGUUCUUAAUUUUCCACAUUAACAGGUGAAUGUACAAAUCAUGGACUAUCUAAAAAUGUUCCUCAGCCCGGAUGGUAUGGUUCAGUGGUUGAGCAUGGAGCUAUGAACUGGGAGAUCAUGGUUCUAUUCCUGGU